This 172-nucleotide ribosomal RNA is filed under the name uncultured bacterium. RNAcentral describes it as "partial 16S ribosomal RNA". It matches the Rfam family "Bacterial small subunit ribosomal RNA", at positions 335 to 524 of the family's 1533-position model. The record is from RNAcentral.
ACUCCUACGGGAGGCAGCAGUGGGGAAUAUUGGACAAUGGGCGCAAGCCUGAUCCAGCAAUGCCGCGUGAGUGAUGAAGGCCUUAGGGUUGUAAAGCUCUUUUACCCGGGAUGAUAAUGACAGUACCGGGAGAAUAAGCAUCGGCUAACUCCGUGCCAGCAGCCGCGGUAAU